GUUAGUGGCGACGGGUGAGUAACACGUGGGCAAUCUGCCCUGCACUCUGGGACAAGCCCUGGAAACGGGGUCUAAUACCGGAUAAUACUGUGCCCCUCAUGGGGGAUGGUUGAAAGCUCCGGCGGUGCAGGAUGAGCCCGCGGCCUAUCAGCUUGUUGGUGGGGUGAUGGCCUACCAAGGCGACGACGGGUAGCCGGCCUGAGAGGGCGACCGGCCACACUGGGACUGAGACACGGCCCAGACUCCUACGGGAGGCAGCAGUGGGGAAUAUUGCACAAUGGGCGAAAGCCUGAUGCAGCGACGCCGCGUGAGGGAUGACGGCCUUCGGGUUGUAAACCUCUUUCAGCAGGGAAGAAGCGAGAGUGACGGUACCUGCAGAAGAAGCGCCGGCUAACUACGUGCCAGCAGCCGCGGUAAUACGUAGGGCGCAAGCGUUGUCCGGAAUUAUUGGGCGUAAAGAGCUCGUAGGCGGUUUGUCACGUCGGGUGUGAAAGCCCGGGGCUUAACCCCGGGUCUGCAUUCGAUACGGGCAGACUAGAGUGUGGUAGGGGAGAUCGGAAUUCCUGGUGUAGCGGUGAAAUGCGCAGAUAUCAGGAGGAACACCGGUGGCGAAGGCGGAUCUCUGGGCCAUUACUGACGCUGAGGAGCGAAAGCGUGGGGAGCGAACAGGAUUAGAUACCCUGGUAGUCCACGCCGUAAACGUUGGGAACUAGGUGUUGGCGACAUUCCACGUCGUCGGUGCCGCAGCUAACGCAUUAAGUUCCCCGCCUGGGGGAGUACGGGUGGCAAGGGCUAAAACUCAAAAGGAAUUGACCGGGGGGCCUCGCCACCAAGUCAGU
This 839-nucleotide ribosomal RNA is filed under the name Streptomyces sp. RNAcentral describes it as "bacterial SSU rRNA". It matches the Rfam family "Bacterial small subunit ribosomal RNA", at positions 91 to 938 of the family's 1533-position model. Lineage: Bacteria; Bacillati; Actinomycetota; Actinomycetes; Kitasatosporales; Streptomycetaceae. The record is from RNAcentral.